UACGGGGGGAGCAAGCGUUGUUCGGAUUUACUGGGCGUAAAGGGCGCGUAGGCGGCGUGACAAGUCACUUGUGAAAUCUCCGGGCUUAACCCGGAGCGGCCAAGUGAUACUGUCGUGCUAGAGUGCGGAAGGGGCUACUGGAAUUCUCGGUGUAGCGGUGAAAUGCGUAGAUAUCAGGAGGAACACCGGUGGCGAAGGCGGGUCUCUGGGCAAUAACUGACGCUGAGGCACGAAGGCCAGGGGAGCAAACGGG
Molecule: ribosomal RNA, 253 nt
Filed under: uncultured bacterium
Lineage: Bacteria
Description: partial 16S ribosomal RNA
Rfam family: Bacterial small subunit ribosomal RNA
Source: RNAcentral